AUUGAACGCUGGCGGCAGGCCUAACACAUGCAAGUCGAACGGUAGCACAGAGAGCUUGCUCUCGGGUGACGAGUGGCGGACGGGUGAGUAACGUCUGGGAAACUGCCCGAUGGAGGGGGAUAACUACUGGAAACGGUAGCUAAUACCGCAUAACGUCGCAAGACCAAAGUGGGGGACCUUCGGGCCUCACACCAUCGGAUGUGCCCAGAUGGGAUUAGCUAGUAGGUGGGGUAAUGGCUCACCUAGGCGACGAUCCCUAGCUGGGCUGAGAGGAUGACCAGCCACACGGGAACUGAGACACGGUCCAGACUCCUACGGGAGGCAGCAGUGGGGAAUAUUGCACAAUGGGCGCAAGCCUGAUGCAGCCAUGCCGCGUGUAUGAAGAAGGCCUUCGGGUUGUAAAGUACUUUCAGCGGGGAGGAAGGCGGUGGAGUUAAUAACUUCACCGAUUGACGUUACCCGCAGAAGAAGCACCGGCUAACUCCGUGCCAGCCGCCGCGGUAA
RNAcentral lists this ribosomal RNA (504 nucleotides) under uncultured bacterium. RNAcentral describes it as "partial 16S ribosomal RNA". It matches the Rfam family "Bacterial small subunit ribosomal RNA", at positions 29 to 523 of the family's 1533-position model. The record is from RNAcentral.